UACGAAGGGUGCAAGCGUUAAUCGGAAUUACUGGGCGUAAAGCGCGCGUAGGUGGUUUGUUAAGUUGGAUGUGAAAGCCCCGGGCUCAACCUGGGAAUUGCAUUUGAAACUGGGAAACUAGAGUGUGUGAGAGGGGGGUAGAAUUCCAAGUGUAGCGGUGAAAUGCGUAGAGAUUUGGAGGAAUACCAGUGGCGAAGGCGGCCCCCUGGCACAACACUGACGCUCAGGUGCGAAAGCGUGGGGAGCAAACAGG
RNAcentral lists this ribosomal RNA (253 nucleotides) under uncultured bacterium. RNAcentral describes it as "partial 16S ribosomal RNA". It matches the Rfam family "Bacterial small subunit ribosomal RNA", at positions 524 to 776 of the family's 1533-position model. The record is from RNAcentral.